RNAcentral lists this non-coding RNA (30 nucleotides) under Mus musculus (house mouse). Lineage: Eukaryota; Metazoa; Chordata; Mammalia; Rodentia; Muridae. The record is from RNAcentral.
GAGGCUUUCAUGUACAUUCCUGGACAGAGA